GACCUCGGAUCAGGUAGGGAUACCCGCUGAACUUAAGCAUAUCAAUAAGCGGAGGAAAAGAAACCAACAGGGAUUGCCUCAGUAACGGCGAGUGAAGCGGCAACAGCUCAAAUUUGAAAUCUGGCCCCUCCGGGGUCCGAGUUGUAAUUUGUAGAGGGUGUUUCGGGCGACGCGCCGGUCUAAGUCCCUUGGAACGGGGCGUCAUAGAGGGUGAGAAUCCCGUAUGCGACCGGUGACCGAGCCUGUGUGAAACCCCUUCGACGAGUCGAGUUGUUUGGGAAUGCAGCUCAAAACGGGUGGUAAAUUCCAUCUAAAGCUAAAUACCGGCCAGAGACCGAUAGCGCACAAGUAGAGUGAUCGAAAGAUGAAAAGCACUUUGGAAAGAGAGUCAAAAAGUACGUGAAAUUGUUGAAAGGGAAGCGCUUGCAACCAGACCUGCCCGCGGGCGAUCAGCCGUCCUUCUGGGCGGUGCACUCGCCCGCGAUCAGGCCAGCAUCGGUUCGGGCGGUCGGAUAAAGGCCUCGGGAACGUGGCUCCCCUCGGGGAGUGUUAUAGCCCUUGGUGCAAUGCGGCCUGCCCGGACCGAGGACCGCGCUUCGGCUAGGAUGCUGGCGUAAUGGUUGUAAGCGGCCCGUCUUGAAACACGGACCAAGGAGUCGACCAACUAUGCGAGUGUUUGGGCGUCAAACCCACACGCGCAAUGAAAGUGAACGGAGGUGGGAACCCCUCGCGGGGCGCACCAUCGACCGAUCCAGAUGUCUUCGGAUGGAUUUGAGUACGAGCAUAGCUGGUCGGACCCGAAAGAUGGUGAACUAUGCCUGAAUAGGGUGAAGCCAGAGGAAACUCUGGUGGAGGCUCGCAGCGGUUCUGACGUGCAAAUCGAUCGUCAAAUUUGGGCAUAGGGGCGAAAGACUAAUCGAACCAUCUAGUAGCUGGUUCCAGCCGA
Molecule: ribosomal RNA, 946 nt
Filed under: Rusavskia elegans
Lineage: Eukaryota; Fungi; Ascomycota; Lecanoromycetes; Teloschistales; Teloschistaceae
Description: partial large subunit ribosomal RNA
Rfam family: Eukaryotic large subunit ribosomal RNA
Source: RNAcentral